UCUCCGUUGGUGAACCAGCGGAGGGAUCAUUACAGGACUCGCAAGACUCCUACAACCCUGUGAACUUAACUAUAAGCACGUUGCUUCGGCGGGUGUCUCGGAGGGGGUUCUCCCUCCCCGAGACGCUAAACCCGCCGGCAGCCUACUAUACUCUGUCUCUUUGCGUUGGCAUCUCGAGUACAAUCAAACAAGUUAGAACUUUCAACAACGGAUCUCUUGGUUCUG
This 225-nucleotide unclassified non-coding RNA is filed under the name plant metagenome. Its description in RNAcentral is "partial contains small subunit ribosomal RNA, internal transcribed spacer 1, and 5.8S ribosomal RNA". The record is from RNAcentral.